This 1113-nucleotide long non-coding RNA is filed under the name Bemisia tabaci. Its description in RNAcentral is "lncRNA ENSSWEETPG013605". The record is from RNAcentral. Lineage: Eukaryota; Metazoa; Arthropoda; Insecta; Hemiptera; Aleyrodidae.
CGAUAUGUUUUCAAAUGUACAUUUUAAAAUAUUGGAAAGCUAAUUUAAACACUUGUGUGGUUAAAUUGGCAUUUUGAACUGUAAAAUCUACAUUGAAGCAUGUCGGACACUUGUUUCAACUAAAAAAUUGUUAAAUCAGCAAUUUUAUUUUUUCCAUGCUCAUAAAUUUGAAAUCGCCAUUCUUUUUCAUCGAUCACGGUCCCUGACCACAAUUGGACGUAUUUGUAUGCGAAAAGGAGAUAUGUGGAAGUGGAAAGAUGGGGUGUGCUCGUUAGUUGGGUCAUAAGAAACAAAUGUAAAAGUGGAUAUAGUUCCUAUUGAGAAAAUUGAAAAGCGGGAUUUGACAUUAAAUCAAAAGGAGCUAAGCGCCAAAAUAUGCUAACUCAUGAGCCGUGGGCAUGCGGCAAGAGCCUUGUGGACAGGGCUCAUGAGUUAAAUUGCCCCGACGGCGACGUUCUGCUCGACGUCGUCGUCGAGCCCGGUCGUCACCGCUGACGUCACUGGCGCUUUAUAUUCCCCAUUCAUUCUUAUGGCCCGACCACUAACGAGCACACCCCAUCUUUCCACUUCCACAUAUCUCCUUUUCGCAUAAAUACGUCCAAUUUCACUUUCGGCUUACAGGUUGCUGCACUGCGAGUUCUCGUCUCCAGAUUUGGGCGAGUUCGGCGUCUACGACGUCCUGGUGACCGAGGACAGAUGUCACGUCCACACGGCCAAGACCCCCCGUCAACAUUUACGCACCAUUGAUACUAGCUGUACUCGCAAUUUUAGCGCUUUUGACGGGGUACAUUAUUUUGGAAAACUUCUUGGAAUCACGGAAAAAAGUCAUCGAUGAGGACGAUCCUGACUAUGAAAAAAGCCCGAAGAGAAGAGUGAACUGUGUUGACACGUUUCGAGGGUUUGCGAUCAUCUUGAUGAUUUUCAUAAACGACGGAGGGGCUAGUUACGUGUUUUUAGAGCACGCGACCUGGGAUGGCAUUCAUCUUGCGGACUUCAUUUUUCCAUGGUAUUUCCCAAAAUUUGAUAAUCAGCAUCUAAGCGAUAUGGACAAAUUAUAUAUCAAUUUUGCACCAUUUAGUCACCAGUAGUGUCCCGGAAAUCGGCAUUGAUAAA